RNAcentral lists this ribosomal RNA (880 nucleotides) under Pteronarcella badia. RNAcentral's name for it is "eukaryotic LSU rRNA". It matches the Rfam family "Eukaryotic large subunit ribosomal RNA", at positions 925 to 1671 of the family's 3401-position model. The record is from RNAcentral. Lineage: Eukaryota; Metazoa; Arthropoda; Insecta; Plecoptera; Pteronarcyidae.
GAAAGACUAAUCGAACCAUCUAGUAGCUGGUUCCCUCCGAAGUUUCCCUCAGGAUAGCUGGCACUCGGAGAAUUGGCGGCGCGCUCGCGCGUCGCCGUACCAGUCUCAUCUGGUAAAGCGAAUGAUUAGAGGCCUUGGGGCCGAAACGACCUCAACCUAUUCUCAAACUUUAAAUGGGUGAGAUAUUCGACUUGCUCGAAUGAUGAAGUCGAAGCGGGUCGUCUCUCCGGAGGCGGCCCGCACUAUGGUGGAUGAAAGAGUGCCAAGUGGGCCAAUUUUGGUAAGCAGAACUGGUGCUGUGGGAUGAACCAAACGUCGAGUUAAGGCGCCUAAAUCGAUGCUCAUGGGAUACCAUGAAAGGCGUUGGUUGCUUAAGACAGCAGGACGGUGGCCAUGGAAGUCGGAAUCCGCUAAGGAGUGUGUAACAACUCACCUGCCGAAGCAACUAGCCCUGAAAAUGGAUGGCGCUCAAGCAUCGUGCCUAUACUCGACCGUCAGUGGCAAAGGAGACGUGGUUACCGUGCGAACGGACCCGCUCACGAAGUCGUGACGAGUAGGAGGGUCGCGACGGUGUGCGCAGAAGCGUUGGCCGUGAGGCCGCGUGGAGCCGCCGUCGGUGCAGAUCUUGGUGGUAGUAGCAAAUACACUAGCGAGGCCCUGGUGGACUGAUGUGGAGAAGGGUUUCGUGUGAACAGCCGUUGCACACGAGUCAGUCGAUCCUAAGCCCCAGGAGAAAUCCGAUGUUGAUGUGCAGUCGCAUAAACUCUUGAUGUUUAACUACAAAAAAAAGGUUUGACCACAUCGGGCGAAAGGGAAUCCGUUUCCUAUUACGGAACCCGGCCGCGGAACCGACCAUGCGGGCCAAUGUCGGCGCACUGUG